AGCCAUGGAUAUGGUGUUAGUUUCUCUUAAUUGCCUUUUGUACUAAAAAAUUGUUUAAUUAGGUCACACUGGAAAUUUGUCUAUGAUGGAUAAAAAUCUAGCUGAUGUUUUAAGUAGACACUGUCAUACAUAAACUUUUAUCACCAGUACCAGCUACUUAUAAGGACACAGAGCAGGCAUUGCAAGAACAAUCACACUGCUUUAAUUA
Molecule: long non-coding RNA, 208 nt
Filed under: Homo sapiens (human)
Lineage: Eukaryota; Metazoa; Chordata; Mammalia; Primates; Hominidae
Description: HSALNT0093559
Source: RNAcentral